This 387-nucleotide ribosomal RNA is filed under the name uncultured bacterium. RNAcentral describes it as "bacterial SSU rRNA". It matches the Rfam family "Bacterial small subunit ribosomal RNA", at positions 30 to 416 of the family's 1533-position model. The record is from RNAcentral.
AUUGAACGCUGGCGGCGUGCCUAACACAUGCAAGUCGAGCGGUAACAGGUGUAGCAAUACAUGCUGACGAGCGGCGAACGGGUGAGUAAUGCUUUGGAAUCUUCCCAGUAGUGGGGAAUAACCAGUCGAAAGAUUGGCUAAUACCGCAUACGUCUGUAAAGGGAAAGCGGGGGAUCGCAAGACCUCGCGCUAUUGGAUGAGCCAAAGUCGGAUUAGCUAGUUGGGGGGUAAUGGCCUACCAAGGCGACAAUCCGUAGCUGGUCUGAGAGGACGACCAGCCACACCGGAACUGAGACACGGUCCGGACUCCUACGGGAGGCAGCAGUGGGGAAUAUUGGACAAUGGGGGAAACCCUGAUCCAGCGACGCCGCGUGUGUGAAGAAGGCC